This 405-nucleotide ribosomal RNA is filed under the name uncultured bacterium. Its description in RNAcentral is "bacterial SSU rRNA". It matches the Rfam family "Bacterial small subunit ribosomal RNA", at positions 355 to 774 of the family's 1533-position model. The record is from RNAcentral.
UUAGGAAUUUUGCGCAAUGGGCGAAAGCCUGACGCAGCAACGCCGCGUGAGGGAAGACGGCUUUCGGGUUGUAAACCUCUUUUAGCAGGGACGAACACAAUGACGGUACCUGCAGAAAAAGCACCGGCUAACUACGUGCCAGCAGCCGCGGUAAUACGUAGGGUGCAAGCGUUAUUCGGAUUUAUUGGGCGUAAAGCGCAUGUAGGCGGUUCGGUAAGUCUGGUGUGAAAGCCCUCGACUCAAUCGAGGAAGUGCAUUGGAUACUGUCGAACUGGAGUACAGGAGGGGUGAGCGGAAUUCCAGGUGUAGAGGUGAAAUUCGUAGAUAUCUGGAGGAACACCAGUGGCGAAAGCGGCUUCCUGGACCGAUCCUGACGCUCAGACGCGAAAGCUAGGGGAGCAAACG